AAGAAGGAAGGAAGGAAGGAAGGGAGGAAGGAAGGGGAAGGGAGGGAAAGGAAAUUAUGAGGUACACGGAGCACCAACCAGAUGCCAAGUUCAUGUAACCAAUAGAUCUUAGAUUCACACUGGGCCCAAUCACAGAGGAAGCAAUCAGUGGCUAAAGGUGACUAAGCACUUUAGGAAAUUAUCACCCUGGUUUCUCAAAUGGUAGGUCUGAUUAUAUUUUCACAUACUGGGUCACGCCUCAUGGUGGCACAGCCUCGUCCAUGAUCACCCCAGAGCUGGUGUGGGCCAGACACCAGAGCCUCCCUGGCUGGAGAAGGACUGUGAGAGACUAAUUGUCUAUGGAAAUGAAUGGUUACAGUCACUGGGCUCUCAAAACUGGAAUGCAAUUUAUAAAGCAGAGCAUUAUUAUUCCAAAACCCACAUUCUGCAGAGGAAGUGAAACUUCUCCAACUGGUGUGCCAGCAGCCCACCUUCCAGAGCCUACCUUCACGCCUCACAAGGAAACAGCUUGGAAAGGACUGGGGCAUACCAACAUGUUUACGGAAUCAGCCUUUGGCAUUGGAAUAGAUCCAGUUUCAAAUCUCUAGGCCACUCCAUCAUUUAACGGAUAGAGGUUGGCCAGGCGCAGUGGCUCAUGCCUGUAAUCCCAGCACUUUGGGAAGCUGAGGCAGGCGGAUCAUCUGAGGUCAGGAGUUUGAGACCAGCCUGGCCAACAUGGCAAAACCCCAUCUCUACUGAAACUACAUAAAAUUAGCCAGGCAUGGUGUAGCCAUGCGCCUGUAGCCACAGCUACUCAGGAGGCUGAGGCAGGAGGAACACUUGAACCUGGGAGAUGGAGGCUGCAGUGAGUUGAGAUUGCAUCAUUGAACUCCAGCCUGGGCAACAGAGCAAGACUCCAUCUCAAAAAAAAUUUUAAAAUAAAGGAUAGAGGUAGAAGAGGACUAAUCAAAGGGCAAAGAGGAGAAUCCAGAAGGCCUGGUGUUAAGAAAGCUAGGAAAAGUGAUAUUGCCUGUUGCAAAAUGGACAGAGAAGGCAGGUAAGUGGACGGGGUCAUGAGGGAAUCAACUGCAGGAGCUCAGCUGUGAAGGAGAAGAGAGCAUUUUAUUUUAAAGGAAGAUUACUGACCAUGUUCCCAUACUGCAAGGGAGGGUCCAGAAAUGCAGAGAAGAAGAAAAAAGGAAUAAUGGAGACAGCAAAGGCUCAUGAGAGACUGGAGCUAGAGCACCAGUGAGGGCUCUGGGCUGGUGAGAAUUCAGCUUUUCUUUGAAAAUACAGGAGAGGGCUUGGAAGGUGAGGUGGCUGCAGAAGAGCCUGCAGCUCUGAGGAUGAGAAUUCAGGGAGUUUGUGAAAUAGAAGCUGCUAUAGAUUGAAUGUUUGUGAACACCAGCCCAACUACCAAAAUUCUUAUGCUGAAGCCUUAAUUAAUCCACAGUGUGAGACAUUGCAAGGUGGAGCCUUUGGGAGGUCAUCAGGGUGGAGCCCUCAUAAGGAGAUUGGUGCCCUUAUAAGAAGAAGAAACCAGAGCCCUCUCUUGCUCUGCCAGGUGAGGACACAGUGAGAAGAAGGCCAUCUGCAAGCAGGAAUGGGUCCUCACUAGGAAUCAAAUCUGCUGGCACCUUGAUCUUGAACUUCCCAGCUUCCAGAACUGUGAGAAAUAAAUGUCUGUUUUUAAGCUACCC
This 1679-nucleotide long non-coding RNA is filed under the name Homo sapiens (human). RNAcentral describes it as "HSALNT0032657". The record is from RNAcentral. Lineage: Eukaryota; Metazoa; Chordata; Mammalia; Primates; Hominidae.